RNAcentral lists this small RNA (67 nucleotides) under Xanthomonas hortorum. RNAcentral's name for it is "sX9 sRNA". It matches the Rfam family "Xanthomonas sRNA sX9". The record is from RNAcentral. Lineage: Bacteria; Pseudomonadati; Pseudomonadota; Gammaproteobacteria; Lysobacterales; Lysobacteraceae.
AUGUACCACUCGUACACUCCGGCUUCUGCGCGCCCACCUGACGACAGCUCGCUGCGUUUUGUUAGGC